CUGAAAACAACAGGGAGCGAUCCCAGCUAAGAUUCAAAGUGUUUUAAACGUUAUUUAAUUCUUGUUUGAGUUCUUUAUUUCACACUCCCUCACCCUCAUUUACUUCAUUUGUAGUCAUUUCUUGAAUAGUUAAACUGAAAUCAAAGUUUGGCCCCAGAUGAGAUCAUGGACUUAAGAAUAGGUCUUCCUAAAUUCUUAGCACUAAAGGAUACUCUCAGAGAAUAGAAAAAGAUUAUUUAAAAAUGAGAGAUGAAAGGGAAGUAUUUUUUUAUAAAAGUGGGAAGAAGCAGCUUGGAAGUAUUCUGAAAGAAGGGAAGGCAGGAUGCUAAAUUUUGACAAAAUGACAUUAUUUUUAUUUAUCACCUUACACCUGCUCAGCAGUGUUAGCUACCAAAAGGAUGCUUGACUAAAGAAUAGGGGACAACUAAUUUGCCUGAGAUUUUACAUUUGGUAAUGGUAGCUCCUGUCUUUUCUGCUCUCUGGCACCCAGCUUGCUUAGUUUUGUGGGGGAUAUCU
RNAcentral lists this long non-coding RNA (516 nucleotides) under Bos taurus (domestic cattle). Its description in RNAcentral is "long non-coding RNA NONBTAT017798". Lineage: Eukaryota; Metazoa; Chordata; Mammalia; Artiodactyla; Bovidae. The record is from RNAcentral.